This 96-nucleotide small nucleolar RNA is filed under the name Morus notabilis. Its description in RNAcentral is "Small nucleolar RNA Z103". It matches the Rfam family "Small nucleolar RNA Z103". Rfam says of the family: This family consists of several snoRNA Z103 sequences which are members of the C/D class of snoRNA which contain the C (UGAUGA) and D (CUGA) box motifs. This family seems to be found exclusively in plants. C/D box small nucleolar RNAs are known to act as a methylation guides for 18S ribosomal RNA. Lineage: Eukaryota; Viridiplantae; Streptophyta; Magnoliopsida; Rosales; Moraceae. The record is from Rfam by way of RNAcentral.
AUGGAAGUGAUGAUUAUUUCCCCAAAUGAUCGACGCUGAUUAUACUGUGCGACUUAAUUUUCUCUUUCGAGAGACCAAGCCAGAUUUCUGAUCCAU